RNAcentral lists this ribosomal RNA (301 nucleotides) under uncultured bacterium. RNAcentral's name for it is "partial 16S ribosomal RNA". It matches the Rfam family "Bacterial small subunit ribosomal RNA", at positions 509 to 807 of the family's 1533-position model. The record is from RNAcentral.
CAGUAGCCGCGGUAAAACGUAGGUGGCAAGCGUUGUCCGGAAUUAUUGGGCGUAAAGGGCUCGCAGGCGGUUUCUUAAGUCUGAUGUGAAAGCCCCCGGCUCAACCGGGGAGGGUCAUUGGAAACUGGGAAACUUGAGUGCAGAAGAGGAGAGUGGAAUUCCACGUGUAGCGGUGAAAUGCGUAGAGAUGUGGAGGAACACCAGUGGCGAAGGCGACUCUCUGGUCUGUAACUGACGCUGAGGAGCGAAAGCGGGGGGAGCGAACAGGAUUAGAUACCCGCGUAGUCCCUGUCUCUUAUAC